Molecule: ribosomal RNA, 446 nt
Filed under: uncultured bacterium
Lineage: Bacteria
Description: partial 16S ribosomal RNA
Rfam family: Bacterial small subunit ribosomal RNA
Source: RNAcentral
GUAAGGAAUAUUGGUCAAUGGGGGCAACCCUGAACCAGCCAUGCCGCGUGAAGGAUGAAGGCGUUAUGCGUUGUAAACUUCUUUUGUAUGGGAAGAAUGACAGGGAUUUAUCCUUGGAGAGACGGUACCAUACGAAUAAGCACCGGCUAACUCCGUGCCAGCAGCCGCGGUAAUACGGAGGGUGCGAGCGUUGUCCGGAUGUAUUGGGUUUAAAGGGUGCGUAGGCUGGAAGGUCAGUCAGCGGUGAAAAGCUGUCGCUUAACGAUAGUCUUGCCGCAGAUACUUCCUUUCUUGGAUGAGGAGGAGGCCACUGGAACGGAUGGUGUAGCGGUGAAAUGCAUAGAUAUCAUCCAGAACACCGAUUGCGAAGGCAGGUGGCUGUACCUUAAUCGACGCUGAUGCACGAAAGCAUGGGGAGCAAACAGGAUUAGAUACCCGGGUAGUCC